GAUGAACGCUGGCGGCGUGCCUAAUACAUGCAAGUCGAGCGAACGGACGAGAAGCUUGCUUCUCUGAUGUUAGCGGCGGACGGGUGAGUAACACGUGGAUAACCUACCUAUAAGACUGGGAUAACUUCGGGAAACCGUAGCUAAUACCGGAUAAUAUUUUGAACCGCAUGGUUCAAAAGUGAAAGACGGUCUUGCUGUCACUUAUAGAUGGAUCCGUACUGCAUUAGCUAGUUGUUAAGGUAACGGCUUACCAAGGCAACGAUGCGUAGCCGACCUGAGAGGAGGAUCAGCCACACUGGAACUGAGACCCGGUCCAGACUACUACGGGAGACACCAGUAGGGCAUCUUCCGCAAUGAUCGAGUGCGUGACGGUGCAACGCAGCGUGUGUGAUGAAGGUCUUCGGAUCGUAAAACUCUGAUAUUAGGGAGGAACAUAUGUGUAAUGAACUGUGCACAUCUUGACGGUACCUAAUCAGAAAGCCACGGCUAACUACGCG
This 497-nucleotide ribosomal RNA is filed under the name uncultured bacterium. Its description in RNAcentral is "partial 16S ribosomal RNA". It matches the Rfam family "Bacterial small subunit ribosomal RNA", at positions 28 to 507 of the family's 1533-position model. The record is from RNAcentral.